This 253-nucleotide ribosomal RNA is filed under the name uncultured bacterium. RNAcentral's name for it is "partial 16S ribosomal RNA". It matches the Rfam family "Bacterial small subunit ribosomal RNA", at positions 524 to 776 of the family's 1533-position model. The record is from RNAcentral.
UACGUAGGUGGCGAGCGUUGUCCGGAUUUAUUGGGCGUAAAGCGCGCGCAGGCGGUCCGUUACGUCCGUUGUGAAAGCUCCCGGCUCAACUGGGAGAGGUCUUCGGAUACGGGCGGACUCGAGGAAGGUAGAGGAAGGUGGAAUUCCCGGUGUAGUGGUGAAAUGCGUAGAGAUGCGGAGGAACACCAGUGGCGAAAGCGACUUUCUGGUCCUUAACUGACGCUGAGGCGCGAAAGCAUGGGGAGCGAACGGG